UAAACAUUGUAAUGAAAUACUAAACAAAGAGGCAUUCACGAGGACAGCUACGUAUUCUCUUCCUGCUUUCAACAGCUGCCGUAACUACGACAACCACAGAAUCAUUGGGCUGAAAGUCGCCAGUUAUCAGGGUCGCCUGAUAAACCAUAACACCGGACGUUAUAAUAGCUACAGCUAGAAAAUGACUGUUCAGUUUGACCCUGAGUCAAACACCGAGUCGAACUCUGAAGAGGAAGAGGCCCCAGCAGCAGCAGCACUUCCACCUCGAAUGCAGCGGGACCUUCCACAAUGGUGCACAUGUGGAAAUUGUGCAAGGAUGCCUACAGAACCGGAGAAUAUAUGCUGCUUGGAGACACAAAAGGUUAAAAGAUGGAUGGAGCAGCUGCAGGACAACAUCUCCUGCAUGAUAGAACAUCCUGGGUUGGACCCUGUAUGUUUAAAUAUGUUCACAAUGCAAAACGCAUACAACAUUUACAGGGCUGAAUAUGGUGCUUUACAGCAAAGGGCGAUAGAGCGGUAAGUGGUUUCUUACUUAUUUGAUCAUCAUCAUUUUAAUGAAAAAGUACAAUGUCUGGGAUGUUGGAUCUUCAUUAUCUCCUCCACGUAUGGCGCCGGGUCCACAAAGACUUCUUCAAAGACCAGGUCCAUCAGGUCAUCCACAUACCCUGUGCAAUAUAGACAAACAGAUAGAUUUUUAUACAAUUUCAUGUUUCAAAAAAAAGACUGAAAAUGUUUUUAUUUUUUACUAUUUUUUAUAUAUUAUAUUUACAUAAAUAUGUUUUGCUCUACUUUAUACAAUAUUGACAUUUUCUCAGGUUUAUGUUUGCUUUUACUGUGUUUUUUGUUUAUGUGAAGUGUUACGAAUUUGACGUGCAAUAUUACAAAUAUUGUACAUAAUACAUGUCAGGUCAGUCUUUACAACUUUUGCUCAGCAUUCUCCCUUCCUGGCCUUUGAGAACUGCAGUCGAAGCAGGGUGCUGCUCAACACUACACAUAGAUUUAACACUCUUUUCAGUUUCAUUUCAUUUCACAGUAUCAAGUAACAGCAUCCACACUGCUACUGUCACUGCCACAACAAUGGCUUCAGGAACACUUAAAAAUCCACUGCAGGAACUGAGGGACAUGUUCCCCCUAAUCCCUCAGAGGAAGAAACGUUGUUUAAUUGGUCCUGACUCACGAUCAACAUCUGGUGCUGCCCCAAAGGUGAAGUCGGAAGUUCUAACAGCAAGACUAAACACAGAAUCUGGUGUCUGCUUUCGAGCUAUUUGAUACAAUUGAGGAUUUCCUGCACUCGGAUGAUGUGCGCAUUGCACGUCAUCCGACCACAAUUGACAAGCCACAGGAAAAUCUUGAGUAUAGAUUUGACACAGAUGGCAUUGUCAUCAGACUAAAUAAUGUGCGAUCACUCAAGGCAUGCACUUCCUGUUUCUGCCUGAGUUCAAAAGUCACAUGCUUGUCCCACAGUAUCAUAUUGUGAAAAAAACAUUUGAACCUGACAGCCCUCAGUGGUGAAGGGUUGAAGGCACUCUGAAAUGCCUUAGGGUAUGUCAUUGUGUAUGUUGAUGGUGGUUACUUCCUCAAUCUCACAGCUGUACCUUUGAGCAAGACAAACCCAAAUCCUCAUCUUUCUCAAAUGAUGUUAUAGGGAAUUGGCAACAACCUCAUUAAAUGAGGUUGUCACCAUCUUCAGGCAUCAGCUGAUGAUCAUGGAGAGUGAGGACAUACAACGACCCACCAUCCAGAAUCAGUGUUUGUCCAGCAUAUCAAAGAUGAAUGCCAUUCAUCUUAGAUCUGUUGGACAAGGCCAUCAAACAUACCAAUAGUAGCAACAAUGACCUCUAUAUUCUGGCAACUGUCAGCAGGUUUGGACAGAGGAAGACACAUCUGUUGCUCUGGAUUUUAUUGACAUGGAGUGUGUCCACUCAAUAUCGAUCCAUGCUGCAUGCACUGUGGCAACCAAGGACCCUCAAAUCCACAUGUUUGGGUCAAGGUAUGGCUUGCAAGAUCUUGUGGGAUUUGGCAGUCGCCUGUUCUCAGUGCUUUCCAUGCAUGAGGCAGCGAAUUUUCAGACAACAAGCCCAUGGAUUUUAGACAUCCCAUAUGGGUCCUGUUCAAGUGGAAGUCCCUUCAGUUUGUACAGAUGUAUGUGCUGUCACCACAUGUCCACUUCAAGACACAAUACAAACAUCCUGUGAGUGGGGUGAUUGUUACAUGUGGGCUGACCCACCAUCAGACACAAAAAGCCAUGUAUGCCAGGGCUCUGGCAUACAUGGAUCACACGGAUGAUUUACAAUCAAAGGUGGGGGGGGUCAGCUCAAGUCCAGGAUUGAGCAGGUUGUGUACUUGACUGGAGCUGAGAUGCCCAAAGUCAUUGUCCCUGCUGACUUCUUUGAUACCGUCAACCUGGACCAACUCCUUAGCACUCAACCAGUCAUCCUCCCAUUUAUUGAAGGAGAGGAAGGGGGCCUGAUUGCCACACUGUCCCAAAGCAUGGACUUCCUCACCACACUGCUGAGGAACACUUUUGACUCAAAUAAGGCAAUGGGAGGGUAUGUUGCCAGCUGGAAAUCGUACCAAAUUGAACUGACCUUGGAGGAGCUGAUAUACGGACAUCCAGUCUCCCCAUCGGAUUUUCACCUGAGUGCAUCGUUGAGCAAAUGUUCAGUGAACCCAAGGAGCCUCACCCACUGCCGUGGCUUCCUGGGUUUGGCUCUGUACAACUCUGCCUCUGUGUGAGAAGACCUCCCCACCCCUUGAGUCGUGGACAAAAGAUGAUGUGCUAAAAAGGAACAUCAGGAGGGUCUUCCCAGUGAUGGACACAUUUCAAGCAGCACCAGCAGUGGUUGGGACAGAGCUGAUCACUAUCCUCCUGUGUGACAUCUACAAAUCCCCAAAAGACUUCAUCCCUUUUGCAGAAAUGAAGUCUUCUGCCAAAAGUGAUGGAUGGGUCCUGAAAGGGUCCAUGACCAUUGAGGCAAUGGUCAUGGACCCACCCACAGAUGACCGUGAGGCUUGAUCAAAGAAACCAUGCAGAACAGGUAAAACAACAUCAUAUAACUUAACAACUUGCAUUGCCUGAAACCUGGAAAGGGGGGUGGGGAUUCAAUUACACCUGAUGGCACAGGUGUAGAAAAUUUACAUUAAUGAGAUCAUUAGGGCAUGGAUCCAGGCUAUAUAAAGUCAGUCAACAUGGCACAACUUGGUGGGUUUGUGAGGA
This is a long non-coding RNA of Sebastes umbrosus (honeycomb rockfish), 3217 nucleotides long. RefSeq lists it as uncharacterized. The record is from RefSeq and is a predicted model, not a curated record. NCBI's taxonomy places the organism in Eukaryota, Metazoa, Chordata, Actinopteri, Perciformes, Sebastidae. The transcript is spliced from 3 exons.